UUUAUGCAGAGAGCGAGCUCGAGAACGGGAGAGAGAAAGAGGACAUGCCGGAAGUUACAUAUUACAUGUGACAAGAGUAAGAGAGAUGCAGCAGCAGGAAAGUGGGAGAGCGAUCGCUGCUGACAGGUUGCCCAAAAGGCAGAUGGGCAAAAACGAGACCAACUGCUACCAACAGCGAUUUAUUUUAGGGUUGACUGCUAUUGAAAGAGUAUGUGCCUGUGUGUGUACAUGUGUAUGGGCGGAUGACCUCGUUGCAUGGAAAAACGUGGAAUAUACCAGAAGAAGAACAACAAAUCGUAAGCGGGCGAGAGGGCAACAAGAAGCCACACCUACAACAACAAACAACAAAUCUAUUACAUCACGAGGAAAAUUGACACAAUCGCUAUACACAUUUGAAAAUACACAUGUACAUGCAUGCAUGUGUAUGUGUAUGUGAUACGGAAGGCAUCCAACAUGCAAAUUGAGCUGCCCUUUAUCUAUAUUAUAUGUACUCUUACUAAUACAAAUUAUAAUGAACGCCUAAAAUUGUUAGUCCUUAUAUGAUAUUCCCUAGAAAACGUAUUUAAAUUAAUAAGUGCGGUUAGUGAAGGAGGCUACCAGAAACUUCUUUCAAAGCAACAAAAAAUCAGUGAAAAGAGAGAGAGAGCGAACCACAAGCUACAAAACAGCAAAGCAACAAAUGAGAGAGGCACGCGGCGAAUUCAACAGCGGACGUCGGCGGCAGCGAGUCGACGACGACCAACGACCACAGUACCGUUCGUUGAAAUUUUCAAUGUAUGAAAACAUUCAGUCUGCCGCCAGCACGGCCCGAAGCGUUUUCGAAAAGCGCGGCAGAGGGCCCCAGAGUGGGGCUGUGCUGUGUGUCAGCGAAGAUGCGGUGCGGGGCUGGCGGAGAGCACGUUUACGGCGGGUAGCGUUGCCAGGCCAGAAAGUAGCAGCGUCUGCCUGAAAUGCAAAAUUAUUUGAGGAAUGCACACAUACACACAGACUCACGCGGCGAGAUACACUCUCGCACGAAUAAAAAUAGCCGUGAACGACAGAGUCAGAUCCCAGGCCCCCCACAUGACGUCAUCUGUGUCUCUCCCGUUGUGGUAAGGAUAAGAUGAAAUUAUCCACCCCGCCCCGCCCACAAAGAACAAUCAAAGUAUUGAAAAAUGCAGACAUUUUGGUUUUACAAUCCUUUUUUUUUUGUUGGUCAAUGUUUUAUUGUUUCACUCACACUUUUGGCAAUGCUGUAAAGUAAAUGCGCCCUGUUAACCAGCUGUUACUCUCUCUCUUGCUGGCUCUCUUUAUCUCUGCGGUGCUCUUGCGCUGUUCGCUUUGUGGCUAGCCAACGAAAGUGAGCGCCGACCACAAAGCUGCAAAAAUUAGGCGAAUAAAUGGCAGAAAAUCGAAAAAUAGAGUAUUUAUUGUUGUUUUUGGAACUAAAAUCGAUUUGAAUUUUGGUUUUGCGGCAUGGUCGGGGGGUGGGGAUGCAACCAAAACAUGUGAUUAUGAAAAAAUAAACAAGUUAUGAAAUAAACUACAAAAAUCGUCGGCGAAUUGGCUGAGCGAGAGCGCAAGAGGAAGUGAUGCAAAGAGAGAAAAGUUAAAUUUUAUUCACGACUCGAUUUUCUACAAGACUAUAUCUAGGGCUUUUAGGUGUUAAAAAAGACUAAAAUGAAACUCAAGAGAGGUAAAUAAUAAGAUAGAAAUUGAACAAAAAAUCACCUUUUUUUAGUAGGUCGCGUCGUAGUGUGCUUAUAUUUGUUGCAACGCUCUCUUUUUCAGCGGGGCAGUGCAGGGCGUGAGGGUGGCUCAAACUCUGCUAGUGCUAGUACUCUCCUUCUCCUGCGCUCUGCACAGCGGAGCUGUGCUGCCGUCUCGCUUGCGCUCCGCUGCCUUUGCUGCUGCUCUUGCUGCGACUGAUUCCGAGAAUUCGCCGUUACUUUUGCUUGUUCUUGUUUUCUUUUUUGUCACUUUGUCUGUUCUCCUUUAUCGUUAAAUGUGUUUGUGUGUAUAUGCAAAAUGUAUGAUUUCUUUCUAUUCUUGUUU
Molecule: long non-coding RNA, 2034 nt
Organism: Drosophila subobscura
Lineage: Eukaryota; Metazoa; Arthropoda; Insecta; Diptera; Drosophilidae
Exons: 2
Source: RefSeq, a predicted model, not a curated record